GGGGAUGUGGCUCAGUGACAGAGUGCUUGCCUGGAAAGCAUGAGGCCCUGGGUUCAAUCCCAGGCACCA
This 69-nucleotide transfer RNA is filed under the name Urocitellus parryii (Arctic ground squirrel). RNAcentral's name for it is "Spermophilus parryii (Arctic ground squirrel) tRNA". It matches the Rfam family "tRNA". From Rfam's summary of the family: Transfer RNA (tRNA) molecules are approximately 80 nucleotides in length. Their secondary structure includes four short double-helical elements and three loops (D, anti-codon, and T loops). The record is from Rfam by way of RNAcentral. RNAcentral also lists the same sequence under 1 other name. Lineage: Eukaryota; Metazoa; Chordata; Mammalia; Rodentia; Sciuridae.